Molecule: ribosomal RNA, 468 nt
Filed under: uncultured bacterium
Lineage: Bacteria
Description: partial 16S ribosomal RNA
Rfam family: Bacterial small subunit ribosomal RNA
Source: RNAcentral
GACGAACGCUGGCGGCGUGCUUAACACAUGCAAGUCGAACGGAAAGGCCCUGCUUUUGUGGGGUGCUCGAGUGGCGAACGGGUGAGUAACACGUGAGUAACCUGCCCUUGACUUUGGGAUAACUUCAGGAAACUGGGGCUAAUACCGGAUAGGAGCUCCUGCUGCAUGGUGGGGGUUGGAAAGUUUCGGCGGUUGGGGAUGGACUCGCGGCUUAUCAGCUUGUUGGUGGGGUAGUGGCUUACCAAGGCUUUGACGGGUAGCCGGCCUGAGAGGGUGACCAGCCACAUUGGGACUGAGAUACGGCCCAGACUCCUACGGGAGGCAGCAGUGGGGAAUAUUGCACAAUGGGCGGAAGCCUGAUGCAGCAACGCCGCGUGCGGGAUGGCGGCCUUCGGGUUGUAAACCGCUUUCGCCUGUGACGAAGCGUGAGUGACGGUAAUGGGUAAAGAAGCAUCGGCUAACUACGUG